Molecule: ribosomal RNA, 245 nt
Filed under: uncultured Coriobacteriaceae bacterium
Lineage: Bacteria; Bacillati; Actinomycetota; Coriobacteriia; Coriobacteriales; Coriobacteriaceae
Description: partial 16S ribosomal RNA
Rfam family: Bacterial small subunit ribosomal RNA
Source: RNAcentral
CACGUAGGGGGCGAGCGUUAUCCGGAUUCAUUGGGCGUAAAGCGCGCGCAGGCGGCCGCUCAAGCGGGACCUCUAAUCCCGGGGCUCAACCCCGGGCCGGGUCCCGAACUGGGCGGCUCGCGUCGGGUAGGGGGAGGCGGAAUUCCCGGUGUAGCGGUGGAAUGCGCAGAUAUCGGGAAGAACACCGACGGCGAAGGCAGCCUCCUGGGCCCGCACGGACGCUGAGGCGCGAAAGCCGGGGGAGC